RNAcentral lists this ribosomal RNA (120 nucleotides) under uncultured bacterium. Its description in RNAcentral is "partial 16S ribosomal RNA". It matches the Rfam family "Bacterial small subunit ribosomal RNA", at positions 30 to 149 of the family's 1533-position model. The record is from RNAcentral.
AUUGAACGCUGGCGGCAUGCCUUACACAUGCAAGUCGAACGGUAACGCGGGGCAACCUGGCGACGAGUGGCGAACGGGUGAGUAAUGCAUCGGAACGUGCCCAGUAGUGGGGGAUAGCCC